AAAUUUUUAAUUUAUUUUAAUUUUCUAUUCAAAAUAUAGUUAUUUCAAAGUUUAAACUUUUUUUUUUUUUACUGUAAAGGAGAAAUUAAUUUAUUAUUAGGUAUGUUGAAGGCUUUUACCUUUUGUAUCAUGGUUGAACUAAAAUAAGUAAUUGUGGGUUUUCUAGAAAAAAGAAGAAACUUUUUAAAUGUUAAGAACUUCAGGAAAGCUAUUUCAUUAGUUUCUUUUUAUUAAAAAGUUGUAAUGAGAUGUUUCGAUUUUUUUGAUAGCUAGUUGUUCUUUUAAACUUUUAAGAGAUUAAGGAGGGGGGUAAUCUCCCUUUUUUUGAAUAAAAUUUUUUUUUUAUGAGGUUUAGGAAUAAAAGUUUCUUUCGUUAAAAAAUGUGUAAUAACUAAUAUUUUGUCUUUAUAAUUUUUCUUGUCUGAAGGUCUUUUUAUUAUUUUUUUUUUUAAAAAAAAAAAUGUUUAAAUUAGUAUUUAGUUUUUUUCUUUUUUAUGAACUCGGCAAUAAGACGUUUGACUGUUUUCAAAAACAUAGUCUUUUGAGGUGUUAUAAAAGAUGGUUUCUGCUCAGUGUUUAAGUAAACAGCCGCGGUAAUUUGACCGUGCAAAGGUAGCAUAAUUAUUUGCCCUGUAAUUGAGGGCUAGAAUGAAUGGGAGAACAAAAUGUCUGCUUUAUUUUUAAGAAAAAAAGAAUUUUCUUUUUUAGUGAAGAAGCUAAAAUUGUUGUGAGGGACAAGAAGACCCUUUUGAGCUUUAGUAAUUAUAUUUUUCUUAAAUGUCAUUACUUUGGUUGGGGCGACCAAGGAAGAAAAGAUCUUCUUUUUAGAACGUUGAUCCGGGGGUUUCGAUAAAUGAACUAAGCUACCAAAGGGAUAACAGCGUAAUUUUUUUUGUGAGUUCUUAUUUAAAAAAAAGAUUGCGACCUCGAUGUUGACUUAUGAUUUCCUGUUGGUGUAGAAGCUAUUAGGGUGGGUCUGUUCGACCUUUAAAAUUUUACGUGAGUUGAGUUCAGACCGGUGUGAGCCAGGUUGGUUUCUAUCUUCAUAAAUUUAUUAAGUUUUUUAGUAUGAAAGGAUUUCUAACUUUUUUGU
RNAcentral lists this ribosomal RNA (1093 nucleotides) under Paranemertes cf. peregrina SCS-2010. RNAcentral describes it as "16S ribosomal RNA". The stretch from base 729 to 1046 matches the Rfam family "Bacterial large subunit ribosomal RNA", at positions 2074 to 2646 of the family's 2925-position model. Lineage: Eukaryota; Metazoa; Nemertea; Enopla; Monostilifera; Emplectonematidae. The record is from RNAcentral.